UACAGAGGUCCCAAGCGUUGUUCGGAUUCACUGGGCGUAAAGGGUGCGUAGGUGGUGAGGUAAGUCUGAUGUGAAAUCUCCGAGCUCAACUCGGAAAUGGCAUUGGAAACUGCCCCACUUGAGGAGUGGAGGGGGGACUGGAAUUCUCGGUGUAGCAGUGAAAUGCGUAGAGAUCGAGAGGAACACCAGUGGCGAAGGCGAGUCCCUGGACACUUCCUGACGCUGAGGCACGAAAGCUAGGGGAGCAAACAGG
Molecule: ribosomal RNA, 253 nt
Filed under: uncultured bacterium
Lineage: Bacteria
Description: partial 16S ribosomal RNA
Rfam family: Bacterial small subunit ribosomal RNA
Source: RNAcentral